ACGCAACGCGCAGAACCUUACCUGGGCUUGACAUCCCGAUCGCACUUUCUGGAAACAGAGAGGUCAGUUCGGCUGGAUCGGUGACAGGUGCUGCAUGGCUGUCGUCAGCUCGUGUCGUGAGAUGUUGGGUUAAGUCCCGCAACGAGCGCAACCCUCGUCCUUAGUUGCCAGCAUUAAGUUGGGCACUCUAAGGAGACUGCCGGUGUUAAACCGGAGGAAGGCGGGGAUGACGUCAAGUCCUCAUGGCCCUUAUGCCCAGGGCUACACACGUGCUACAAUGGCCGGUACAAAGGGUAGCAAGACCGCGAGGUGGAGCCAAUCCCAAAAAGCCGGUCUCAGUUCGGAUUGGAGUCUGCAACUCGACUCCAUGAAGUUGGAAUCGUUAGUAAUCGUGGAUCAGCAUGCCACGGUGAAUACGUUCCCGGGCCUU
Molecule: ribosomal RNA, 430 nt
Filed under: uncultured Desulfuromonas sp.
Lineage: Bacteria; Pseudomonadati; Thermodesulfobacteriota; Desulfuromonadia; Desulfuromonadales; Desulfuromonadaceae
Description: bacterial SSU rRNA
Rfam family: Bacterial small subunit ribosomal RNA
Source: RNAcentral